GUUCUUCUCAUUCUUCUCUCCCUGUUCUUACCAGCUGGUGAAACAGAAUGCCAGGUUUGAAAGUUUGCAGAAAGUUUGGAGCUUGGGAAUACUGGUUCUGUCUUGCUACCACUCGCAGCAUCUGAGAGAUUAUUCCAGAACGAGCAAAGCAGAUCAGCCUCUGCUGACAUUGACGACAUCUGCACCCGGAGCCAGCCUUUUUUAUAGAUGACCAGACAGAUAUUGCAAGCUUCAGCGACUUUAUCAAGACCACAUAUUUAUAAGGCAGCUGAGCAUAGGCACACAGUGCUGGGUGUGGCUAUUGUCAUCUGGGAACUUGCCUUCUGUACUUGAGUUCACUAAACUACAAAAGGAUCAUAUAUUCUCUCAGGGAACUCAGGAGCAAACAAAAGCUUAUCCAAGAUAGCUGCAUGAAACCAGGUAUGGUGGCACAUCCUAAUCCCAGCCUUUUUGGAGGUGGAGAGAGUACAUUCAAGGGCAUCCUCAGCUACCCAGCGAGGUCAACGUCAUCUACAGCUGCCUUGUGUGUUCUAGGGCAGCCUGGGCUACACGAAACCCUAUCUUACAAAAAGAAGAGAAAAUAUUGUUUGAGUACUUUCCUUCAUACAGUUAAGGUUCUGACUGUCUGAAAUGUUUACAUGUCCUACUUACCACAGAUUAGAGUUUUGUCCAGUUAGACUAAAUGUUAUUGCUCUUUGUACAAAAAGCAAGAUGGUCUAUUUAGUGUAUUAAACAUAAAUGUAGAGAUUUUCCCCCUCAAAUAAAGCUGUGUGGUGUCUCACUGAAAUGGGUAAGUUUGUUUGUCACAGUGUCAGACACUAGCCAAAAUCAUCUCCAGCCAUCUCAUCUGUUAUUCUAACUAGUAUCUAGGCCUGUUCAUAUUUUAUUUUUUGUAAAUCUUCCUACCAGAGCUUCCUUUUUUAUAUAACCUAAUAUCAUUUAGGGGGUAAUGCUGUAAACAAAGAGACGACAAUAAAAUGAUGGGAAUCUAGAGUCACUGAAGUUUUCUCUCCUUCUUCCUUGAAUCAAACCAAGGAUGCCAGAAUCGGUAACAUCUCCCUUGAACCUUGAGUCUGUUAUCUGAUAUUUGAUAUGAAAUGAUUUGAGCUAUCUCUGAACCUUGGGGUCCUCAAUUGAAAGAAAGUAUAGUACUAUUAACCUUACAAGGAAUUCGUGGAAGGAGCAUGUAAGAUGUAUUUUUAUCACUUUAUCUGAACUGGUCUGAGAAAGCCGUUUUUUAGUAGGUUAAUACCAGAGUGUUCUAUUAGUCAAGCUCCUUCCAUGAGUACAGUGAGAUGAAACUACUCUACACAUCACAGCAGCCACUCUUGUCUUGCAUCUUCUCUUAAACACAUGUGUUAUGUGUGAAGAGAAGCAUAAGAAGCAGAGCCGUACCAAUGACAACAGUCAAUAUGUUAACAGUAACUAACCAACACCUACUGAAAUGUUUGGAAACCGUCUCCCUUUUUUCUACUCCAUAGUUAUUAGUGUCUUCUUGAUGAGCAUGGACUCUAAUGGGUUAUUCGUGGAUAUAUUCUGCAGAGAGUUAUUUCCUCUGUUUCUGAAAGAAUGUUCUUACUAUAACCUCAAAAGCAUGUUGACUUUGAACCAUUGCACAGAACACUUUUCUGCAUGUGUGAUGAGUCUGUAGAACUCAGCCAUAAGUUUCCACUGACUGAGAAUAUUAUGAAGUCUCCCAAUGAAUUUACUUCUCAAGGAUGCGUUCCUUCAGCUUGCCUCACUUCAUAUGCUUCUCCCCGCCCAUGCUGCAUACAAAAAUGUUUAGCAUAGGCAAGACGCUCCUCUUUAUGAGCUUCGACUUUAUAAAAUGAUAUAGCAAUAAAAACUUACUCUUCAAAAUUGCUUCCAAAAAGAGAUAUUAAAUCCAAAUACAGUCCAGAUUCAAUAAAAAUUGUUUAAUAAUUUGAAAAGUAUUUUCAUUGAUCAUAUAUAAUAUUCUCUAAUUGGUUAUAAAACCAUUUUCUAUGAAGUAACUUACACAGAAAAACACUAAAAGCAUUGUUCAGCUUGCUUAAGGAAUCCACUCAAGCUCUUGUGCAGCCCGGAACUGUACACAGCUCAGUGACGUCCUACAAACAGCACAUAACCCCGAAUGAUCAAUCCUAAUGAAGCAAACUCUUAUGGUUUAGUUUGCCUAUUGCUCACAGUAGGAGAACAGUUUAAGAGGGGGGUUGAGUUAUGACAAAUGUUAUACGUAAACAGUAAAAUAAAGCUUGUGCAGUUGUACAGUUAUCAAAUUGGAGAACGAUAUAUUGGGAACAAAUGACUAUAUUUAAGGACAUUUAUAGUAGAGAAGGUAUAUAUUUCUGAAUGCUUUCAGACAAAUUACAUCAAAUAUAAAUGUUAUCAUGAAUGAAAUUUCUCCAAACAAAUGCACCAGUGGCCUGCAGAAUGCUUGCUCUCCAAGUUGAAGCCCAACUCACUGACUUCAGGGACCUUUAGAGUGGAACAAGCCCUGGGGAGUGAAGCUUAAAGCUAUUCUGGUCUCAUUUAACUCUUCUUUCUCUUUGAUCAUUACGCUAAACUAGGAGCAUCUUGUCUCAUAAAACUCACUAUAUAAAAUGCCUGCACUAACAUGACAGAAACUGGAAAGUCUGAAAUCAGAAGCGGAACGGGAGAACAAGCACUAGUCACUCACUAGAUCUAUCACCUUCAGGUCUUAAAGCAAAGAGAAGAUGGUUAAAGACAGCUUGUUGCCUGAUACAGUGUCACUACACUGCACACAAGUUAAUUAGCUACCCAGUGUGCAGAACGAAGGGGAGCUAUGACAAAGUUUUCAGGUUAAAAAUAGAAGUUAACUGAUAGCUAAUUAUUGAUAACAAUUUUAAACUGAUGAGUAUUUUGACACAUCAAAUGCACUAAUUGCAGAGAAAACCUUCCACUUCUCUCUUGGAAAUCCCUUAGAGCAGUUUAGCUACUUCCCUGAAGUGGAAGCAGGUCAUGGCUGGAACUGGGCUUCGCCUGAAGAAAGAGUGCUGCAAUGCAUCAAGGUUCUCCCGCCUUUUUAUCCAAGAAGCCCAAUAAGAAAUGAAGUUAUAGAAGACAAUUGUGCCUUUAUUGAUGUGUCAGAAUAUUAUUGUUAAAUCAGUGGUAGAUAUAUGUAAAGUUUCUAAGCUUCAAAAUAUGAUCAGCAGUGCCAUUUUCAUGAAAUUAGCCAGGUGGCCCAUGCCUGUAGUCCUAGAAGAAGAAAGGCUAAGGCAGAAUGUGUGCCAUGAGUUCGAGGCCACCCUGGGCUACACAGUUAGUGCCAGGCCAACUAGGGUGACAGAGAAAAAAAUGUUUCAAACAUCAAAAUGACAAACCACAGGAGGAACAGGAAACAAGAACAUGCUCAGCCCAUACUAUCUGUCAACAUCAAGUAUUAAGAUUUGGAAAUAUAUGCAUAACAUGAUGCACCCAUAUCACCAGUUUACAUGAUCCAAUUCAAAUCCUAAGGAAGAAUUAUUUCUUAUUUUCCUUUUUAUUUAUUCUUGGAAAAAUUAUUUCAUUUAUAUUACCUUAUAUCCACAGAUUUAGCAUAAAUACUUAGAAAUGUCACACAAUAAUUUUAUUGAUUGUGUAUUGGUUGUAGUGGGGUAUCUUUUCCCUCCUUACAAACUAACUUAGUAGAGUCCUGAAACCUGGUGGCUUAUGCUACAAGUUGUGGAGUCAGAGAGAAGCCAAAUGUUGUAGAAACCUCAUUUGUAAAAUAAAACAUGUUUAUAUAAAGCUUAAGGCCCUUCUAGUUCUGACUUAAAUUGCCAUGUUCUAAAAAUAUUCCAAAGUAUAUUUUAAAAAAUAUUAGGAAUAGUUCCUAUGUAUGUUGCUGGAAUCAUCUAGUAUUGCUGGAUAUGUACUGAAUGUCUGAGAAACUUGACUCGUUAAUUUUGAAGCCAUUUUAAAGCAAAACUGUCCACUCCUAGGAAUGCUCUGACGGUAGCUCUGCAUCUACCUCCUAGUUCUUCUUCUCAAGGAUUCACCAGGACGCCAUCCAUGUCUGGAUAGGCAUUUCAACCCACAGCCAUGGGAUACAGCUGUAUCAGCUGCCACGAAGAAGUAGCAGGCCCCAUGCCUUGUACAAGUGUCUGCGCAACUUCACUGAAUGAACAACCAACAGGAAAAAAGUUAUAGCUGUGUUUUAGUGUGUGUAGGAUGUGCUCUUUGGAGAAGUUGCAAAGUUGACAUAUCGCUAGUUCCCUUCUGUACAUGCACAGAAUAAGCUCCCAUCUGCUGCUGGGAAGUUUCUGCUUAAUGAUUGUUUCGCAAGUUUUAAUAUUUUGGCUGAAAAUACUUUACUUCUUGAUACUGUCUAGACCAGAUUAGUAGCCAAAGAAGGAAAAAAAUUCCAAUGGCCUGUAAGUGAAAUACAACACUUAAAUGCUAAGUGACUUUAUAUGGUACCAAGUUCUUAGGUAAAGCAUACAAAUCAUUGAAAUUACAUAUUCUAAACUACAUAUUUUUGCAUAAAAUUCUUCUAUAAAAGUAUACAACCAAUCUACCUUUAUACCUAUCACUACAUAUUAAUGAGUUUUAUUAAGAAGGUCUCUUAGUUAGGGUUUCUUUUUCUGCACAAACAUCAUGACUAAGAAGCAAGUUGGGGAGGAAAGGGUUUAUUCAGCUUACACAUUCACAUUGCUGCUCAUCACCAAAGGAAGUCAGGACCGGAACUCACACAGGGCAGGAAGCAGGAGCUGAUGCAGAGGCCAUGGAGAGAUGUUACUUACUGAUUUGCUUCCCCUGGCUUGCUCAGCUUGCUUUCUUAUAGAACACAGGACUGCCAGCCCAGGGACAGCACCACCCACAAUGGGCUGGGCCCUCACCCCUUGAUCACUAAUUUAGAAAAUGCCUUACAGCUGGGUCUCAUGGAGGCGUUUCUUCAACUAAGACUCCUUUCUCUGUCAUAACUCCAGGUUGUGUCAAGUUGACACAAACACCAGCCAGUAGAGAUGGUAUUAAGAACUCUAGAAAGGAGGGGAGUAUGUUAUGUUAAAAUCCUAUACAGAGUGAGGUUGUUAUGGUCUAAAUUUAUAUGUACUUUUGUUUGUGCAUUUAAAAUUCCAAACUACAUAUGACUAAAUACAAUUAUAACAAAUUUUAUAAUUAGACUGAGUGGGUAUACAGUUUUACAAAAAAACAGGCUCAUAAUGCUCACUGACUGGUCACUUCAAAGUUCUACAUGGUUAAGUUUGUUCCCUUAGAGCACACAUAUUUAACUCCAGUGCCAUUGUCACCAAUGAUCCGUAGUCAUUGCCUGCAAGGACAUGGUCAACUCAGGUGUAGUCACAUCUCAAGGUUGUUUUCGUUUGGCGUCUUGAUUGGAAUUGAACAUAAAACAGGCACUCUAACUCAUGAAUAGUCACUUUAAAUUAGAGUUAAUGUUUAUACUACAGGUUUAUUUUCUAUCCUGGCCAAUACAAAUAAUUUAUUUAAAUCGUAAACACUCUCACCCCUAAGUAUCAGUUGUGUGUCUAACACAGCCUGGACUGGACCAUCACCUUGUUCUCGCAUGUGGUACUCAAAUGUAUUAAUUGUCACGUAUCCACUGAAUGGGUAGCAUUUGUGAAAUUACUGUCUUUAAGUAAUAGUUUGUAAGCACAUUUCGAAUUAUCAAGUAAUCACUACAAAACCUUAAAUCUCUAGGUUGGAAAUGACAAACAUGCACCAUUAAACAGCCAAAAGAUCACAAGCCCCCAACCCUAAGUAAGAAGUUAUCUUCAAUCGGUAACCACUCAAAAAUGAAAAAUUAUUUCUUUCUAACGGAGUAUCACUGUGCAUGCAAACCAGUCUUAGAGCCAGGCUCACAGUCAGCAGUAAAUGGCCAAGGCAGAAUGUGCUCAAUGCGUUUUUUUGUUUGUUUGUUUGUUUGUUUGUUUGCCUGUUUCAUAAUGUUUUGGCUAAUAUACUAUGUGUCUGGUUUUAUGUUUUUAGAUUUCUGUACAUGCCAGUCUCUGUGUGUCUGUGUGUGUGUGUAUGUGGUGUCUAUGUGUGUGUGUGUGUGUGUAUGUGUGUGUGUGUGUGUGUGUGUGUGUGUGUGUGUGUGUCAUGCUUUUCCUUUGGCUCUUUGUUUUUCAAAUCAUUUGUUUGUUUGGUUCUAGUCAUGUUUGUUUGAUUUUAUUAACUUCUCUUCCAUCUUUCUUUCUUUUCUUUACUUUUUCUUUCUUUUUUAAAGAGUCCUCUUAAAGAAUGUGAAUUUGGGUGGGUAGGGGGCGAAGGAUCUGGGAGGAGUUGAAGAAGGGGAAGUAUAAUCAGAAUAUAGAGUAUAUAAUUUGUUUUCAAUUUAGAAAAGAGAAAUAAUAAAUAAACUAUAAUAUAACAGGAAACUGGAAGCUCAUUAGAAAUUAUAAAUAUUUGGCAAAGUAUAAAUGCUAAUUAACCUGGUUUGAUUAUUAUACAAUGUGUACGUGUAUUGAGCUGUCAUUUUUGUAUCCUAGAAAUAUAUGUAUGAUGUUAACUAAAAAUUAUAAAAAUAAAAUAGUAGGAAUAUUAUGAAUAUUUAUGUAAAGAAAAAUAUUGGAAAUUUUGUAUGAAACUAUUUAAAAAGUGAUAGGAGAAACUUCUUAAGUUACCAAAUGAAAGUCUAGAUCUGGUAAGAUGUAACUGAGAAUCUAUGACUAUCAAAGAAAACAUGAAUAUCUUGAAAGUUGAUUCAAAAAGCUUUCCAAAAUGAAAACCAAAAGACAGAGACAGAAAGAGACUUAAAGGAUGCAGAAGGAUCGCCUCGUAUGCAAUAUUUGAAGUUCCAGAAGAAGCAAAGGGAUGACUGUUACUGAGAGUGUUUGAGAAGAUACUGGCUGAGUGUCAGGGAAUAGGACAUCAGAGUGGUAAUUAAUGUAUGAAUUAAAUGAGAAGACUGUCUAAAACAGUAACUUCCUGAUUGAAUUUAAAUGCAUGAAGGAGGAAAGGGAGCACAAAGGGACGCAGAGGCAUCUGAUGUCUGCAUUUCUCUGGAGGAUAAAAGUAAACUUCCUUGAAUCGCUGCCCAUUUCUGAGUUUCUUCCCUCUUUCCCCAUGCUGGUUAAUGAUGACGGUGUGCUUUUCCCGGCACUAACAGUGCCUUUCCUUUGUCUUCCCUUGCUCCGCAGUAAGGAAACCCCGUGUAUCCCCAUCUCAGAGCAGAGCUGGAGUCAUCCACUUGACUUAAACCACUACAAUGAUCUUACCCCCCAGCCUCCUCUCUUUGUUGCGCUAACCAGUCAUCCUGGCAGUUUUGCUGCUCCUUAAAUAUGUAGAAUGCUCUGUGAAGCCUGCCCGCACCUGGAAUGCAUUUCCCCAGAUGUCUGUGUGGCUUCUUCUCACAUCUACAAGUCUGUGCUCAAGUCCCAUCCUCAGAUGACUAUUAUGGUUGCUGUAGUUAAGGUCACUAGCCAUACUCAUAGCUUCACACACACACACACACACACACACACACACACACACACACACACACACACCCCACUGUCUAAUAUAUUGAAUAAUUAACUUACUCAUCACACUCAGUGUUUAUUAUCUGUUGAAAGUAACAUAACUUCUGCAAGGAGAAGGAAAUUUGUCUGCCUUGUCGAAAUGGAAACUCUCGGCAACCCAAAACAGCACGUAGUUUCUUAACAGACAAGAUCAAUAUCCUUCAAGGCAGAAAUGUGCUGAUACUGAGUUUGUAUAGCUACAUGUUUUACAAAAUAAUAACAACCACAAUUUAGAUUUUCUGAAAAUACUGGUAUCUUUAGCAUCUUUCCAUUUAUUAGUUACUGGUGCUCUUUUAAACUAACUUUCUCCAAUAUAUCUGCCCUGCUACCAAGAACAACAGAAAAAUAAACCUUAUGACCUAGAAACCUAAAUUCUGAUUUUAGCUUAUUUCAUGAUCAUAAAUAAUUAAAAUGACAACAACUCCAAACCUUUUUAAUGAAAGGCAAAAAAGGGUUGAAGCACUGAAACUCGAAUAAUAUCAAGAGUCUCUUUGUGGAUGGCAUUUGGGGAAGGUCAAGCUGUAGGGUAUAAUACAGAAGGUUGAGAUGGCAAGAUUCAUUUUCCACUAGUGUAUGAAUGCUUUUUGAAAUUUUAUUUCAUAUUUUUAUCAUUUUGUUUUACUCUUGAUUUAUCUUAAAAGAGAAGUAAGUACAUGGAAUGCUGUAAUGUCCUGAAGUUAUUAAUACCUGACAUAGAAAGUAAAGUCUCUCCUCUCUGAUAACCUGGAUGGCACCUGGUCCCUUUAUCUUAAAAGAAAGUUCACCCCACUUCUUCUAGAAUUUUCUCAACAUUAUCUAUGUACAUAUAAUGCAACCAUUGGGGCUUUUCUAUGCCUGUCCUUACUCUGAAUAAUGACACGUAGCCUUAUUUUUAUUAAUGUAUGUCUUAAGCUAGAUUUGUUCUCAACUAACUUGUAACUCAGUUAUCCCAUUUAUACUACUCUAAGUUGUGCCAUGUGGCUAGUUACCUCUCCUUAGUUUCGUAUGGCUGACUUCCUCUGUCUCGGUGAGAGUCUCCUGCCUCUGACUCUUUCCCAGAGUUCCUCCCUCUGCUGGACCUCCUUACCAUCUUCCUCCCACCUUACCAUCCUGCCUUUUGCUGUGAGCCAUAGGCUUUUCUAUUUUAACCCAUCAGAAGGCGCCUUUGGCAGGCAGUGAAGGACAGAGGCACAUCCUCCAACAGUGAACAAAACCAUCAGUCCAACAAUAUAAACUAACACCCAUGUACACACCAACACAUCUCUACACAGCUAAUAUUUAAUUCCUUCUUGUAAUGUGAGGAAAGCUCAGAACGUAACAGCCCCACAAAUUUUCAAAGAGCAAAUGGCAGGGUUUGGAGUUGAGCACAAAUCUGUCUGAAUCUAAAACCCACACAAAAGAAAAUGAUCUCCAAAGUUUCACCCAGGAUAUCUCAACUCCAUUUGCUCAUCAUCAAAGCGUGUUUCCUUCACUUGGUCAUCUGGAAACUAGAUUUAAAAAAGUAGAUUACUAAGAUGUUGUAUGUGUUCUUUUUUUUUUUUUUUCUAGAAGGUACUUUGAAGCAAAAACUGAGGUAGCAUUUGGAAAGCUAGACCUGUUGAUGAUUAAACUCCAGUCCGUGUGCAUUCAUGUGCAAUCAAUAAAGAAAACAUCAAAGACCCAAGUUUUGCCUUUUCCUCUUGCCUAACUGAGGUUAUCCAAUUAGAAAACACUUGAUUUUAAUCCUUAUGAGAAAUUUCUAAAUUCUUGUUUUGCUUAGACCUCUGUUAAAUAUUUAGACCUACCUCAUCUUAGUCUCUUAAGGGGAACAAAAUACACAUAUCCAUUGCUACAAAGAAUACAAUCUGCCUACUUUCAACUGUGAAUCUAAUUUUAAAAUGAAGAAUUAGAAUUACUUUUGAAGUCUUUAGCUUCUAUGGUCUAUUAUGUAAUUUGUGCAAUGUGUCUGUAUAAUUUGUGUCCUUGGUUUCAAUAUUAAUAUAUGUUGAUAUUCAUUUCAUUUUGUUAAGAUUAUGUUUCCCUGGGUGCUCUCUUUUAAUAACAUUCCAGUCUUUGACUUCAAUAAAAUCAUAAUGAAAAUCUUGUUAACUGUAGCAUGAAUGCAGACCUGGAAAAAUUGCCAUUUUAGCCAGGUAGUGAACAUCUUUCUCUGGUAAGUGUCAGUUGCCUUAUGGAAGAGCACAAGUGCUAUAGGAUCAGAUAUAUAGGGCAUGGUCUCCAUUUUCAAAAUCAUCAUUCAGUAGAAAAGAGAGGGUAGAAAAAAUAAUUUUGUUUCAGAGCCUUGGGGGCCUAUAAAUGGAGCCCUGCAGAGUACAAAGAGACAGAUAACAAAGAGACAGGGUGAGACAGGGUUAUGACUGCAUAUCAAGGGCAUGGAAACUAGAAAGAAAGAUAUUCAUGCAAGGGAGGCAAUAGGGUAAGCAGAGGGCAUAGACUUAUCCUUAAAGGAAGUAAUAAAUGCUAUUAAGGAAAAAUAUCAUAAUACCGGCCGCAAGUAAAAUUACAGUGAUUACUAAGCCUGGAAAUUGGAGGCCACUGGAACCAAACUCAGUUAUGCUAUCACGGUAUGAAUCUAGCAGGUACAUUUAUUUGUGUUCCAGUGCUUAGCUACAAUCCCAGAACUUCAAGAUAAACAUUGUGUCAUAUUGAAGAUUGGCUUCAUGCUAGUAUCUGGUGUGGUGAGGCAUAAGUGUGCAUAAAUUACAAAGAAACCUUCCUACACUCAGCGGAUGUUGCUAAGAAUCUUCAGUAACUGGGCCAGACAGAGAUGUGACAGACUGAGAUGAGGGGAGAACACAGGAAAAGUGGAUGAGGUCACUGUGAUGACUGUUCCUGAUUGUCAUCUUGACUACAUCUGGAAUGAACUGCAAUCCAGAAAUGGAGGACAUACCUGUGAUCCAGAUCUUGAGGCUGGAAGACAUGGACUUCCAACCCAAAUUGUGACAUGGGAUGACACACCUGUGAUCCAGAUCUUGAGGCAUAAUGGCCAUGAAAAGGUAAAACACAGGCUAGGCAGUACACCCCUUUAAUCUCAGGAGACCAGGACAAGCAGAUCUCUGAGUUCAAGGCCAGCCUGGAACAGAGCAAGUUCCCAAACCAGGCAGUGUGGUACACGCCUUUAAUCUGAGCCACACCUUUUGCUGGAGUCCUACAUAAGGAUGAUGGAAGAAGGAAAACUCACUCAUAUUUGCCUGCUUGCACUUACUUGUCAGCAUAUCUGUUGGAACCUACUUCUUCAGGAUUCCAGUUUCUGCAGAAGACCAGCUGAAACACCCAGCCUUGUGCACUGAGCAACUACUAGAUUCAUAGACUGCCAUUUGGCAGAUGCCUAUUAUUGGACUAAUACAGACUGUAAAUCAUUACGAUAAAUUCCCUUAAUAUAUAAAAAUAUUCCAUAAGUGCUGUGACUCUAGAGAACCCUGAUUAAUAUAAUCACACAGACAAAUUCUGUGACCUUUGUCUCACAGAGCUCAUGUGAAUGGGCUCAGAGUACCAGACAGAAGAGGCCUACGUCUCUAGUGAAGUUUCUUCUUGCUUGCCCUAGCUAGUACACCCUAUUAAAGUGUUCUUAUCACAUCCAUCCACCCGACUUCAAGUUCCACUAAUCUGACUGUUGCAUUUCUUUAAUCUAGAAUAUUCUUGAUUCGCCAGAUCUAUACCUCCAGUGACACUCUGACCCAGAUCUCUGGAUCUCAAAAUCUUCCCUUGUGUGAGAGCCUCUGGCUAACUGACUGAAAGGAUGGUAAACUCAUAGUAUUGAAUAUGGCUUGACCCAGGCUAUUCUCUACUAACACAGAUAAAGCUAAAUACAUUUGUAUGUGGGUAAAUAAAAGGAAUCAAGACAUAAAAGGCUGUGCAAAGGAGGUGGGACAGUUUGAGUUUUAAAAAUGUGUUAUCAUGGCACCAAAAUAAACCAAUCUGUCCCGAUAAAUGUUAUAUUAAUAGGCAUCUCCAAUAAGGAUCUAGGUAGAGUGAAAUGUCAUUGCUAUGGUGACUUCAGUCUCAGGAGAAUUGAAAAUAACCCACGUGAGUGCACAGAGCAGACCUUUGACUGACACAUAUAUUUAGUCAGGAGGUCCUUUGCUGCGGAGGCCAGGAGGGAUGUUUCAAUGUACUGCAGAUUACAAAAUAGGUCUUACCAAAGAAAAGGGAAGCCUCUGUGAGGGAACAACUUAUUUUUUAAAAUAUCCCAAAUAAGCAGGAUAAACAUAGCAUCUGUCUGAAAAAGACACUUUCCAUUUCUCUUUGCCAAAACUCUCAAACUGACCUCUCACUGUGGCAGCACAGGGCAAGAGAGCAACAUGGCCGCGGAGUCCUCCACGGCGCAAAAGCAACAACAGACUGAAUGGAAAAGCUCUCCGUGACAGGCAUUUGUGUUUAGACUUUAUGUCAUGUUUGUUGUUGGUUUUGGGCUGAGACCAGGCUGGUGGAAUUUUUAGUACUGCUUAUGACAUUGAAAGGCACUUGAAAUUUCUAGAAUACAUCAAUCAUCUGAAAAAGAAGAUUACAAUCUGUCAAACUGCGUUCCUUUCCAGUUCAAUUGACUUAUAGACAACUCAGUGAGCUAACACUAAUACAGAAUAUAAGCAUGGACAUACACAAUCAGAUUUAAAAAAAGAUACACAAAUGCUCUGAAGGGAGGUGUAGGGAAAUAUUCUAUCACACUAUGAUUACAAAAUAAAAACAGGUUGGAAUUUCAAAUUGUUAACUAUGCCAUCCCAGAACUUCCUAACUUAUAGGAAAUGUUUUAAAAGAUGCCCAUAGUUAGCUACGAGGCUUCCUUUAGUUAGCAUGGCAGGAUAAGUCUCUAUUAAUGGUAAUGUGUAGGAGAAGUUCAUCAGGGUCCACUGGGUUUCAGGCUUUUCUAAAAAUCAUUCGCGUGCAGAGCUAAGAACUAAGUACAGGGCCAGACAUUGACUUGAUCCUUUUAGAAUCAGGAUACAUUCACUUUGCUUCUCCAUGAUUGCAUAACGUGCAAUUUUUAAAAGGAACGGUAGUAUCUUAAGUUAGAACUAUUACCAGUAAAUGAAUAAAAUUUGCAAAAUGACCAGAGGGGAUUAUUAAGCCUGGAUAUGGAAAAAAAGUUAAACAAUUCAAGCAAAAAUAAGACAGAAGAAACAAGAAAGGUCCAGACCUGGGCCUGUAACCACAUUAGCCAGCCUUCUGAGACAGAUGCAGCCAUGUUACGACCAGAUCACAAAGCACAUUCCCCACUGCAGUGAGUGAAGUGGAUCACGUUCAUAAGUCAUAACGAGGCAGUUAUAGCUUCAAUCCACAGUUGUUAUGUCAUAAUCAGUUUUAAAGAGUUGACUCUGAUAAUAAGAAGAAAAUUGAACUAGUCUAAAGAGAUCAUUAGAGGAGACGUGGUUAAUAUAGAUGGGCUAGAGAAUGGCAAAUUAGAAAAGCACUGACAUUGGACAUUUACGUCCCAUUCUUUCUUUCAUGCUAUCUAACAAGGGAUGGGGACUCAGAAAAUACCGGUCAGCUAAAAUAGUCUAUAAACAUUAAGUUCGUAAGAAAUUGCAUUUGGGACUCUGCAGUUUAUCAAGGUUCACAUUUUUACAGGUUCUAGGAGAAAAUUAAGGAUAUUUGAAAACUAUCCUGAAUAAUGGCUAAAUCUUCAAUGCUGGCAGUCAGAAAAAAAGACAAUAAUGUAUUUUUGGACUAAAUACAUAGGGCUCUGUUUUCCUUGCAUACGCAAGUUUAAAUACAAAAACAUAUUUAUUUAACUUUGCGAAGUAUGGUUCAGACUAUCGCUUGAAGUGUCCCUGCUUUAAUGAUGCUGUCCCUCCCUCCCUGGAGACCAUCCUAACAGGGACUUCUCACUAUGGUUUGAGCUCUAAUGUGACAAUGUAGUCCCAGGGAAGGGAUUUAAGAGGUAAAGGAACCACUUAGAAAUGGGUAUAGUGGGUGUCCUUAGGUCACUGCAGGUUCUAUCCUGCAGAGGAAAUUCUGGUCUCCAACAGUGAUCUCUUGAUUCUGCCCCUCCUGUAUUCUGGUUUCCUGUUUUAUCGUACAGUUUCCUACUCUUCUGUGCUUUCCACCAUACUGCAUUUAAGCUCACCAGAAACCAAAUCAGUAGGUCUCCUCAAGCCUGGAUAUCCAGACUCCAAAGCUCCAAGCUAAAUAAAGGUCUCUUAAUUUUUUUUAAAUUAUUAUUAAUGUGUGGUUCCAUUUGUGUGCAUUUGCAUGUACACAUGCCACAGUGCAGAUACAGAGGUAAGAACACAAGCUUUUGGAGUUGGUUCUCUUCCACUGUAGGUUCCAGGAAUUCAACUCAGUUCAUCCACUGAAGUGCACGUUAAUAAAUCAGGUUUUGCUUUACAAAGAAGAGAAAAUCAAAAGACUUUUUCUUUUUAUAGCACUGCCCUGUUUUCCACUUUAUAACUCAAUUGCAGCAUGAAUGAUGAAAGCUUAGAGACCUUAAGUUACAAUUUUGUGGGGGGUCUUUUAGUGGACAAAUUAUUGUCACCAGAUCUAAGAGGAAAAAAAAAUAUUGUCAGAACUCUUCAGCUUUCAUUUUGUCCUCUGGCUGUCCCUUACAAUGGUAACCACCAUUCUUACUUCAAACACCAUAGAAAUGAACUCAGUAAAUCGAGAUUUGCCUGUUGUUUUUGGAUUGAUAUGGCUGAAAUUAUGCUGUAUGUCCCCUUGGGUGUUUUUGUUCUGCAUUCAUCAUUGUCCUUGAGAGACGGUUGCUAGUAAAUGCAAUUUGUUCCCACGUUUUUCAGGGCACUUGAAUAAUUCUAAGAACUAUGGGAGGUAAUGUUUCCACCCAACAGCAUUAUCUAUGUCUUUGAAUGAUUUUUUUAAAUAAUAAAUGAUUCCAAAGAAGUUACUUACAGAAAAUUAUUGUUGAUAAUCUAUAGAAAAUGCUUGUGUAUAGCCUUAAUUCUCUAGGUAUUGUAUUUUUACUUCAGAAUGAGUAGAAGUGAAGUGACCGUUCAGAGGAAUGUCCGCAUGAAGGGCCUGAUGCAUAAUUUACAAGAAACAGGACAAAGAGAAAAUGUCAAGGCUUCAUUAUUUCUUCUGUUUUAUAUAAAAUACAAUUACAUUAAAAUAAAGAAGACAACAAAAAUCACAAUCAUUAAAAUGAAUUUUAUCUCUUAAGUUGGGUAUGUUGUUUCAGGUAUAUGUGUCUGUAUGAGCAUGUACAAUUGUGUGUGUGUGUGUGUGUGUGAGAGAGAGAGAGAGAGAGAGAGAGAGAGAGAGAUCUAUACACUCAUGUACAUUUGUGUAAGAACACAGUUGUGUAUGUGAACAAUGGCAUACAUCAGAGGGCAACCUCAAGUUUUUGUCCUGGCUUUUCACCAUGGACAGGGUCUCUUCACUGUUCUUCUCUGUUGCAUGGGCAUCUCCUAUGGGCUUCUGGGAUUGCCCUUUCUUGACCUCCCGUCUCUCUAAGAGAGACCCAGACAUUGAGAUGCUUUGGCUAUGCAGCAGGCCUACAUAGGUUCUGAGAAUUAGAACAUAUAUCCUCAUGAUUAUACAGCAAUCCCUUUAACCCGCUGAGCCACACAUCUUCCCAGCCUAACAAUAUCAAUUCUGCAUGCAGCCACAAGAAUACUCAUGCAGAAUUGUCAAGAUUUCAUAAUUAUAAUUAAAGGGCCCUGAUUUUGCAAUGAGAACACAAGCUAGACAAGGAAACCUGGAAAAGGCAACAGAGAGGCUUCCUUUCCUACAAGUCUACAUCCCCACUCUAGGAGACAACGCACCUUGAUUUAAAACCAUGAUGUUUUCAUUUUAAUGUUAGCCUGAAGUUUAUCCUUGAAUCCCUACUUUAUAAGUGAUGUAACUCAGUGGGACAUGGCAUAUGUACCGAGACCUUGACUCUAAGGCAUCUCUUGCUGGAUCCUCAUGUGGCUCAAACCCUGCCUGUCUUCUCCAUCUCUUCUGUCGGCCCUGGCUAGUAACCACUGCUACAUUUUAGUAGGUGGGGAAAACAGUCCAUUGUAUCCUUGGAGGAACAUGUGUAAGAGGAAAGGGAUGUCCAUACUCUCUGGAUGCUUCCAACAAUAGCAGAAUGUUGGGCACAGGAAGUUUCAGGCCAGGGUGUAGCAGUAACUGUCUUGGUCAUGGGGUGACAGCAAGGCAGCCCACUUUAAAGAUUGUUAGUGACCUUUAACCCAAGAGACUACACAAUUUAUAGACUCAUGAGGCCACCUCCUGGUUCACAAAGGCCACUGACAACUUACUAUUGUAAAAGAGAACGUAAAUAUCCUCUAUAUAGAACCCUCCAGAUCUUUGUUUUCGUAAAUGUACAUAAAGACUAAUGUGAAUACACAAUCACAAGAAUGAAGAAUACACUAAAAAUACACUAUCUAGGGAUAAUGGGGGGUGGAGGAUCCAUAGCUUGACCAGAAGGAAGACAGAACAGGAACUUUGUAAGAAAAGAGAGUUGAAAAACAGGAACAGCCUGCCAGAACCAGAGGUCAAAGUCUGGUGACUCAGCUGAGAUAGGCAGGGGCAGGAAAUUUCCAGGAGGCUUGGAAGUCAAGCAUGUUCUGAGACAGAAAGCAGUAGCAGUCCAUGCUUGUGAACUGAAGUCUGUCAGAGAUCCGGCAGGCCAGAUAUCUAAAUGUAAAGGCAGUGACAUAUAUAAAAUGCAAUUACAUUUAAAGAAUUACCAUCCUCGUAAUGCUUAUUAAUUCAGCUAAUGAACCAUCUAAUGUAUCCAAGUUGCUUAUAGUCCGGACUGUUUGCCCUUUAUACAAAUGUAUUAAUGACUGAGGAAGUCAGCAGGUCUCUGCCACAUCAAGAGAGAUGGUCAUGCAUGGUCUGCUUCCAGAAGGUUUUUCUGACUCUAGGUAGAUGCAAUUAAACCACAGAUUCAAAUUACUGCUGCCCAGCUUGGAGUUAUCUUAGCAAAUCCUGCCUCUGCCUGGCCAGAUAUUCUAAGGUUCUGUGGUAUCAUCUAAGCGGCAUGGGAGAAAACAGACCUCACAGAGCUGUGAACAAUAGAAACACUCACCAGGAGGUCAGUGAACCUGUGGGAAGGCAUAACAAGAUGGGCAUGCAGACUGAGAGGGCCUUUAUGGUAGUAGGCUUGGAUUCUUCAUGUAAUUUGUAGUGAGGAGCAUGACUGGAAGGCACCAAAGCAGGGACUAGAUAGUGCCCCCUCUGAGCCAGCUCUUAGGACAGCCCUCACCAUUUCUCACCACCAUCAUCUUCACAGACCUGCUCCUCCACUUGCCUUUAGAUUCUUUCUGUACUCAGACUCGUAGGACUGUUCUCAAGGAAUGCGGCUGGUCUUUACAACUGUACAACCUACAUAGCUUCUCUUUAUCUAGUGAGAUAUGUAAAUCCAGAGCUGGCUUCUGCAGGAUAUGCAUUUUGCAUUUUCAUGUUUCAGUGGUAUUGCCAGGAGGCACAAUAAAUGAUAGGCUGCACUCUUCUUGGACUAUUAUUGUUUUUUUUUCUUCUGGUUAUGAUAGCAUUGCAAAGAGGUAUAGUGAAUGACAAGAGGGUAUCCUUCAUAGGGUAAUUUGAAGAGAAGCUGACUCUUAAAAGUCCUAAACAUAACUUCACUAACUUUGCCAUCCAUCAAAAGAUGGAUCCAUCUAACUCUCUGCUUUCAGGGUAACCUAAGUUUCCUAUUGUUGUUUGAAUCACCAUCUUUGGGGGGAGGUUUUCUUGUUUGUUUUGGGUUUAUAGGUUUCCAUGAGCUUUAUAUGAAUGUAUUAAUGACUUAGGAAGUCAGCAGGUCUUGGCCACCAUUGGCAGAUAUUGUUAAAACUGAAUUAUUUAGCUUGAAUGAAGGAAAACUCAGCACCAGGGUAUAAGAAAAAUCUCCCAACAGGGUGAUGUCAGAGGAAAGUCCUAUCUUGGUUUGGGAGGAGCAUUCCCAUGUCUGUCACAUAUGAGUCAUUUCCUUGGAGGCUUUUAGACGCCAGCCUUGGGGCAUCAGCUUUCCACUGUAUCAGUCACAGUCAUUGGCUCUGGGCUUCUCAGUGUGACAGCCAUGACUAUCGCUCCUUCUCUGCAGACCAGAAAGACUUUAAUGAACUGUGUAAAAUUACUGCUUCAAGCAACGAGUCUGAACUCAUAAAAUACUUAAUAUAGAAUUAAAGUGAGAUACUCAAGUAAUUUAAGUUUACAUUUAAUUCUCAGAGAAAAUAGGAAGGAGAAUAGAAAGAAAGACAUAAACAGAAAUAAAAUUAAAAAAAACACAGCUAUCAAAAAAAAAACCACAUUCAAUUUACUGUAGAGUUACAUUCAAUUCCCUGUAAAGUAACAUUUUGUUUGUGUAAGAAAAAAUGUUAAUUUUCUUUUUAAUUGUGUGGGUGUCCAACCCAAUUGCCAGCUGGACUAAGAAGCUGCUGCAGGAGUUUACAUAAGAAGUGGCAGAAAGCAUUUAUUUUAGAUAAGAUUUUGAAAACAAAACGCAGCUGUUGCAUUCAGUUAAGGAGGGAAAACAUUUUGUCUACAGUGGAGGACACACCAUUAGCCAAUUUGGCUAUUAAAGCAAGGACUUUAAAAUCAUUUACAAAAGUCAGCAGCUUGAUCUUGUGCAUUGCAUACACGAGGCAUGAAUACCUGAACAGUACAUUUUAUUUGGACUGGGCCCAGGAGUUUUAGUGUGUGAUAACUACAAAGUAGGACUUAUUAACAUAGGAACAUUUAAAAAAAUAUGUGUAUGUGUAUAUAUACACACACAUAUAUAUCUAUAUUCAUAUAUAUAUGUAAUCUAUCUCUAGAGAUUAUAUAAUAAUCUCUAUUUAGAUUAUAUAAUAAGAUUAUCUCUAGAGAUUAUAUAAUAAUCUCUACCUAGAUUAUAUAAUAAUCUCUAAAGAGAGAUUUAUAAAAUGUACUGGCUAGUUUUGUGUCAACUUGACACAAGCUGGAAGCCUCAGUUGUGGAAAUGCCUUCAUGAGAUCCAGGUGUAAGGCAUUUUCUCAACUAGUGAUCAAGAGGGGAGGACCCAGCCCAUUGUGGGUGGUGCUGUCCCUGGGCUGGUACUCUUGGGUUCAUAAGAGAGCAAGCUGAGCAAGCCAGGGGAAGCAAGCCAGUAAGAAACAUCCCUCCAUGGCCUCUGCAUCAGCUCCUGCUUCCUGACCUGCUUGAGUUCCAGUUCCUGACUUCCUUUGGUGAUAAACAGCAAUGUGAAUGUGUAAGCUGAAUAAACCCUUUCCUCCCCAACUUGUUUCUUGGUCAUGAUGUUUGUGCAGGAAUAGAAACCCUGACUAAGACAUAAAACUAUAUAAAAUAUGACCUCGGAGGAAUGUUAUCUAAUUAUUUUAGUACUCAAUUUUCUACAGAAAAUCCUAUAACAAAAAUUAAGAUGUGUAAGGACAUCAAGCAAGGAAAAUCUUCUAAUAAAUUAUCAGCAUGCAUUUAUUAUUUUGUACGUCAAUUGAAAGAGGCAAAAGUUCCAGCAUACUGGCCACACAGCAAGCCAGGAUUCUCCAGUCUCCUCUCCAGGGUUGGGGUUAUAGGCACCUACACUUGAGCUUGGCCUUUUAUAUGAGUGCUGGGGAUCUGAACUCAAGUCCUCAUGCUUAUUUGGCAGACACUUUAUAACUGAGCCAUCUCUACAAACUCCUGUUUCCUAAACUUAAGGAGUUAUUAAUUACUUAGACCUUCAACAUUUAUGGGCAUUAGGAGCCUGUGGUGGUUUGAAUGAAAAUGGCUUCCAUAGACUUAUAGGGAGUGACAUCAUUGGAGGUGCGGCCUUGUUGAGGUAGGUGUGGCCUUUUGGAAGAUGUGUGUGUGUGGGGGGGGGCGGGGUUUGAGGUUUUAGAAGCUCAAGCCAGGCCUAGCGUCCCUCUUUCAUCCUGCUGCCUGCAAAUCCAGAUGUGGAACUUGCAGCUUCUCUCUAGUGUUGCCUGUGCUUAACCAGCCCCAAUUCAGUGUUUUCCUUAUUAAGAUUUUCCAUGGUCAUCAUAAGUGACCACAGUAUCCCUUCACAGCAAUAGAAACUCUAACCAAGACAGAGUCUAAAUGCAUGUGAAAACUGCAAAAUUCUUUGGUGUAAAGGGAGAUUUAUUAAAAUAAGUAUCUUUCUGGGAUGCGAACGUGAGCAUGUUUACUGUCUGCUUUUCAUCUGGACUCAUAUUCUGGAACUUUGCCUCUCGAUUGACAAUAACAAAUGCAUGCUGGUAAUGCCUUAGAAAUUUUUCUUUGCUCGAAAUGCUAACAAGCCUUGAUAUUUUGUUAUGGGAUUUUCUGUAGGACACAAUGGAGUAUUAAGAUAAUGUCACUUCACCUCCUCUGAACAUUUAAUUACCAGUGGGACUCUGCAGAUGUUGCUUCUUCCUUUUUAUUCUGUACACAUUGUCACCAUAAGGCAACGGGUAACAUCUACAAUUACAGCAUAUAUCCCUUCAAAACGGAGAACAUACUCCGAGCCUAUGGAGCAUAUAACACCCCAUCAUGGUAAAAGGGCAGUAAGCCUACGUUAUUCACAAAACUCUUACAGCUUUUCUUUCUUUCUUUUUCUUUUACUGAAUAUGUUUUAUUUACAUUUCAAAUGUUAUUCCCUUUCCCGGUUUCCUGGACAUAAGCCCCCUAUCUCAUCCCCCUACCCUUCUUCUUUAAGGGUGUUCCCCUUUUCUUUAUAAUAGUUGCAUUUCAAGUCAGGCUUCUUAUCAAAUCAUCUUUAGACUACCAUUCAACACUUUCAAGUUGAAGAUAGAUAUUUGUAAUGGGGGGGUAGGUUUUAGAACAAAUUGAAAGCUAAGGCCAGUAUCAUUGUCAUAGGGAAUAGCCUGAAUGAAAACCCCUUGUAUAACUGGCCUUAAGAAAAAUAGGAGCCUGAUAUAGCUGUCUCCUGAGAGGCUCAGCCAGAGCAUGACAAAUACAGAGGCGAAUGCUAGCAGCCAACCAUUGGACUGAGAACGGGGUCCCCAUUGGAGGAAUUAGAGAAAGGAACUGAAGGGAUUUGAAACCCUAUAAGAACAAUACCAACCAACCAGAGCUCCCAGGGACUAAACCACUACCCAAAGAGAGUUCACAUGGACUGACCCAUGACUCCAGCUGUAUAGCCUUGUUGGGCACCUGUGGCUUGGUCCUGCCAAGGCUGGGCCCCACAGCGUAGGGGAAUGUCAGGGCAGGAAGGCAGGAAGGGGUGGGUGGAUGGGUGGGGGAACACCCUCAUAGAAGAAGGGGGAGAGGGAUGGGAUAGGGAUUUAUGGACAGGAAACUGGGAAAGGGAAUAACAUUUGAAAUGUAAAUAAAAAAUAUCCAAUAAAAUUACUUUUCUUAGAAAGAAAGAAAGAAAGAAAGAAAGAAAGAAAGAAAGAAAGAAAGAAGGAAGGAAGGAAGGAAGGAAGGAAGGAAGGAAGGAAGGAAGACCUGAUAAUAAACAGUCAAUUGCUUACCAAGAUUUCUGAGGGACACAGAAAAUUAAUGCAGUUUUAGAACACAAAUAAGUAAAGAGAUUUUAGAUAACAUUCAAAUAUUAGCACCGAAUAUUACCUCGAACACAAUUUCAAAAUGAAAACUGGAAUCUUAUUGGUUGUAGAGAGACGGCUUAGUAGUCACAAGUGCUUAGUGCUCUUGCAGAGAACUGCAGUUUGGCUCUAGGAUUCACGUCUGGACUCACAUCUGGAAGCUCUCAGCUGCACUGUCUGCAGGUGUAUGGAUUCUGACCCCAUCAUCUGACACUCAAGCGUGCCUCCAUGCUCACACUCCCACACAUCCAAGCAGAUACGCACAGAAUAAGAACCAAAAAAAAAAAAAAAGAAAAAAGAAAAAAGAAAAAAAGAAAAAAACAGAAAGCCUGGAAUCUUAGUCCAAACUUGUUCCUUUGGUUUGUCAGUGACCUGCCCCUGUUUAGGUGCAGCACUGGGACAUUUCCUAACGAUACAGACUCCAGGACUGUGUCUUCAAACCACCGAGGUGAACUGAUGGAUCUCACAUUGUUAAUAAGAUUCCAGAAACCACCACUCAGCCAACCUACAUUUGAGGUAUUAAGUCAGUUCGCAGAUUGAAUUUUUGAUUUCACUCUUCUCUUGGUAAAAAUAAGCAAAUACUUAAAUUUGAAAAAGAAAAGAAUGUGUCGAGGUCCUUUGUUUUGUUUAUAUUUUUACGACAUUGUUUUUAAGUGAAUAAACAUAUAUUCAGUAAAUAGUAAUGGGAUAGUAAUAGAAAAUAGAAUAGUAAUAGAAAAUAGUAAAUAAAUUUGGUAUCUUCCACAUUUUUAAAUGGCUAUUGUGUUUAAAAUAGUAUAUUUGUUUGUAUAGUUUGAUUAACUUCUGUUUGUGAGUUUUUGCAACAUUUCUUGCGAUGAAGUACAAAGUUUUUUUCAGGUUUUCUUUAAAGUGUGUGUGUGUGUGUGUGUGUGUGUGUGUGUGUGUGUGUGUGUGUGUGUGUGGUGUUGGAGAGGGGUGGGCCAAUGAGUGCAUGACUAUGGAGGUCAGAAGAGGUUGUCAAUCUCUUGGAGAUGGAGUUACAAGUAAUUGUAAGCUUCUCAACAUACGUGCUGGGAACAAAACUCAGAACUUCUUAAUGAGCCAUUUCUCCAGUCCCAGGAAUUGUAUUUUAACUCAUGCUAAUAUCCAAUAUCCAUCAAUUCUUCCCAUAAACACAGGAAGAGAAAAUAAAUGCAGUACACAUGUUCACCCAUCAAACUCAUGGCAAUCUCAUGAAUUGCUGAAUCAUGUUAAAACAAAUAUGUUUGUUCUGAUGUUUACAAGUUAGAAACCCACCCCAUUUAUGACUAAAUCAAUUUUGCAUGUUAGCCUUGGCUUAUAUUGCAGAGUGGAAAAUGAGUGUAAGUACUCAAAUAUUUCUUCAAAUGUCAAAUAUUUGUAAAGCUAUGCCAAAUGGUUGUCGUUUUAAAGGAAUGUUUCAAUCAAAUUGUAAAUAAAUGGAGCUCAUCUUUAUACAUUUUAUGUGCUAAUAAUUCUAGGUAAAACUUCUUCUACCUCAAUAUGUCUCUGAAUUUUACAUGUACCCAUUAACACAAAAGCCAUUGCUAUCAAGAUUCAAUUUCCAAAGCAUCUUUUUUUUCCUCACAAAUAAUCUCAUGGUAAUUUACAUUCUUUAUUUCUUUAUUAUUAUUGUGUGUGUGCAUGUAUAAUAUGUGUGUUUAAGCAUGUGUACCACAGUGCACAUGUGAAGGUCAAAGGACAGCUGUAUGGAGUCACUUCUCUCUUAUUCAUUUAUGUAAGGUCCAUGGAUUGCACGCAGGUCACCAAGCUUGUAUGUCAAGUACUACUGCUUUCCUGAGCCUCUCAUCAGCCCUCGUGUUAAAUUUUUUAAUGUUUAUAAUUUAAAGUAGAGUUUUGGCAUAUAAACUGUUUCCAUAACAACUCUUCAUUUCACUGGGGUUUCUUCAUCAUGACACUCAAAGUUACAAUCUAAUUGCAAACACAUUUUUAAAAACCUCAGAUUUGAUUUCAAAUCAUUAUCCCUCUUAAAGUGGUCUGUUCGAAAUAUUUUGAAGUCCUAUUCUGUUAAAGACUUGAAGAGACAGGCUUUACUAAUUAUUUUAAAGACUUACUAAUAUUCUAGAUAGGUGAGUUCAAGUUAAGAAAUAUUUAACAUACAAGAGUUGUAUAAUUUGCAAGCAAAUAUAAGUGAUUUCGAUUAUCGAAAGAGACUUUAGGCUACUCUGACUAUGAAACUGCUCAACUAUGCAAACCUGAGAGGCAUUUGUGUGCUUUGAUUGAGAUGUUCCCUAUAGUCUCAAGCAUUUGAAUACUUGGUCCCAGUUGCUGGUACUGUUUGGGUUCCUUUAGGAGGUCUGGCCUUGUUGGACAGGAUGUGGCACUGGAACCCUGCUUGGGGGUUACAAAAGUCACACCCCAUUUCCUGUGGCUCUCUCUGCUCACUAUUUGCUGUUCAGUUCUUUCAGUAGUGUCUAUCUGCUGUUACGUUUCACCAUAGAUGGUGAGGGACUCUUAGCCCUCGGACACCAAAGCCCCCAAGAAGCCAUUCCCCUUGUAAGAUGCCUCAAAUGUUUUAUCACAGCAAGAGAAAAGCAACUAAUACAGUAUUAUGUAAAAUUACUGAAAUUCCAGAAACAAUGGAUUUGAAUAGCAACUAGAGAACACUUUAAUGAUAACAAAUCCUUCAACAGCACAACAGACUAAAGGGAAAAGAAAAGCAAGAUUGCAUAGCCCUGGAGAUAUACACUAUGUUACAUAGACUUUUGUCUCUAAUAUAUUAAAGACUUUACUGCUAAUUAGUAAUUGUUAACUUGUUGAUACUAAAACAGAGACUUCUCAUUGAUUUCUUAUGAUUGGAUAAUUUUAUGAUAGGUGAUGCUUUCUAUUUUAUUUUGGCUUUUGAGAUAGGAUCUUGUGUGACCCAGACUUACUUUUCUCCAAUAUGUAAUCCUCCUGUUUCAGUUUCCGUGCCCAACUCAUGAUGAGUUAUUCUCGUAAUUGAUAUUCAGUGGAAGAAAGAGAAAGAGAGAGGCUGCAGGUGCUUUGAUAAUAAAGGAGGGCCAGGUCAGUGCGAACUAACUUACUCCACUUCGUCUUAGUUAAAAAGUUGAGAAUCAAGGAAACCAGUGCUCUAAACUGUAAACUGACUUCCAUACUUCGCCUAAAACCCAUUUGUCUCUUUAAAUGAGAUCAGUAAGAAAGGCUGAGAUAAUAGUAUUGUAUGGAUCAACACAGACUCAUGAGCCAUCUUGUAGAGUAGGAACGCAGCACACAAUAUUAAAAGACCAAAUUGUAUGGGAAGUCUGUUUCCCACAGUUUUUGACAGUUUCAAAAACGUGGGGGCAUUUUGACUUUUUAUUUGUCUGUUUGUUAUUUCUUGAAGACCAUUAUCACCUAAAUAAGUAAAUAUAUCACUACCUAUUACAAGUCCUAAUAAGAAUAAUUCUCUAAUGUCCUAUUUAAAGUACUUAUGGGAACUUUCUAUAUUUGUAUGGGAUUUCUCUGGGUGUUAAUUGGAAAUAAUUUAAAUCUAAACAAGAAAAGAAGUUGGGUAGCAGUAGCAUAUGCCUAGGAUCCUAGCACUCAGGCCAAAGCAGGAGGAUCACAAAUUCAGGGCAAGCCUAACUGACAUAGUGAGAUGUAGGCUAGCUUAGGCUACUGCUAUCUCUUGUAACCAUCACAGAGGUAGGUACAGAAUUGUAAAAACAAAAACAGAAGUACUGUAUUUCUUCACCAAAGCAAUUUUUUUACAAACAAGACAUGAACUCACAGCAGCUAUGGCUAUAUUUACAAGAACUGCGGGAGAUCAAGCCAACCUGAAUCCCAGCAUGGAUCAGGGGAGGGGGCUCGUGAACCCCAUUCUUAGCAGAGGAGCUGUUGAUACAGUUUCUGGGUGGGUAGAAUGUUGCAGUAGUAGAAGUAGUGUUGUUGUUUUGUUGUUGCUGUUUCAGGGAUGUGACCCUGCUACUCAUGUCCCAAUAGAAGGACCUAAAUGACACACACAUAGACAGCCCUAAGUGGACCCAGGAGACUUUUUCAAAGCCUACAAUGAAGCUGGUUGUGAAAAGCAGUGGACAGGAUAUGCACGCAAUUAAAGAGGAGGGAUUAGGGAUUGGAUUUAAUUUUUUUAAGUUUGUAAACAGAUAUACUUUCUCAUAAAAAUGCCUGAAGAAACCUUUAACAUCUAUUUGGCAUUUUAACAGCAACUGGCAUUUGAAGAUAAUGAACGAUACUUAAAUAGAUGACAAGAAUUAUUACCUCAUGGAACUUCUCAGUAAUGUCUUACUCAAAGGAUUUGUCUACACAGUAAAUGAUGCCUAAUAAUAGAACAUCCUAUAUCUGAGUUAGUGGAUUUCUUUCAAGGGAGUCUGGAAGAAGUCAGAUUUGUUAACUGAUUCUGUUAUAACUUAAAUGAUAUUUGGAUCCUAGCUAAGUAUUAAUUUAAAUAUCUUAGUUGUGCAUUUUAAAGAUCACUCUAUAGUAAAUUGUAUGUCUCAGGCAGCUGUGUUAUUACCAGCACUUCACAAAAUAUAUAAGCUAAAAUUUCUAAGCAAUCGGUCCAAGAUUGCCUGGGCUCUAGACUAGAGGAAAGGAGAUGGAGAGGGGAGGGGGGUCAUUCACCAUGUGAUGGAGUAUGCUGUCUCUGUUCUCGACUGAUCUCUGCUCAACAGUCUCCCACCUUCCCUUUCUUUUCCAGUGCUUCUGUUUUGAGUGAGUCUGAUUAUACUUGCCUAUCCUUGUGAGUUCUUUCAUUUUUUUGUUUUUGCAAAAGUAUGUCUGUCUACCCUGUGAUUCCUUUCAUGGCUGCCUGGUGCUCCGUGGGAUGCCAUGUUGGCCUUGCUGUAUCCCUUCUUACUCUAACUUUCCCAGCUCAUGUUCCCUACCUCCCUCACCUAACCGCCCACAGUUCCUUAAACCCUCCUUGUGUUUUCUUGCCCAGGAUCCUUCCUGCUGCCUGACCACUGUACAGUACCUAAAGUGUUUGCAUUCCUUGAUAGCUUCCUUUUGCCAUUUCCUCUGACCCCGUGACAGGGAAUUAAGCUCUCUUCUCUGUUAUUCUGCUUUCACUAUUGUUCUUUCCCAGCUCCCAUUGCUAAUUAUUGCUGUGGCUUUUUUACCCCAGUAUUAUGUGAGCUCCCUCUUUCACUUUGAUUAGAUUUGUAUCAAGCUUAUUGCACUGUACUGCAGUUGCGUCUGCGUUUGGCUACUUUCCUAUUAUGCUGCUUCUUGGGAGCAGAUGAUAGCUGACAUUUAUUGAGGAGUUACUAAGGGUCAGGAAUGAUUCUUAGUGUUUUGCACAUAUAAACCUAUUUGACUCUUAUAAUAGUCUUAGGAGUUUCAGUUACAAUCACCCUAAUGCUAAACAUGAGAAAACCAAUGAAGUAACGCCAUUCGAGUUAUUUUCUUUACACAAGAAGACAUCCAGAGUCUGCUCCUUAACUCUUCUCCUUAACCACUUUGCCACCAUGCCUUGUCCUGGCAGAUUCCCUUCUUCCUCCCCCUUCUUCUUCUGAUCUCUUUCUCCUUUUUCCUUUCUCCCCUCUUUCCUCCUCUUUCUUCCUGCUCAGCCCAUCUUCCUUUCUCUUCUUUUUUCCUCUGAGUCUUUUUCUUUCUUUUCUUUACUUUUCAGAGUCUUUUACACUUCCUGGCAUGUGUCCAUUCUUAGUGUUCCUCAAACAAAUUAAUCACUGUAAUAUGAACAUACAUAAUUAGGCCUUUGGGAAAGGUAGGUACCGUUUCUUCCUAAAGUAGAAGGAAUCUAAAGGAACAGAACUCUGAAGCUGGUAAUCAGCAUGGCUCGUCUGAAAAAAAGACUCAAGCACAUUCUUCCUGAGUCCAUUCACUCCUCAAAUGAUUUUUUAAGCCAAUCCCAAAUGACCACUUUACUACUUCUAAUAAACAAUGUCAGCAAAUCCUUUCGCUCCAUAUUUGAAUGACUUUAUUAAGUAACCGUAUCACAUAAAACUGCUCUUAGUGUGACAUAUUUACAAGUUUUCACCCUACAUGUUAAUGAUUAGCAUAAACAAUUUCUCUGUUUAAAACAGCCCUCAGGCUUAAGAUGCCUAAGUUUGCCUCCACUAAUACACUUCACUCAGUUUGGAAUGUCCUUUCUCUGCAUCAGAAGGUUAGUGACGUCAUCUGACUGAAGUGGAAGGGCUUGUGACAACCAUGUCAGUGCAGUUGAGCACUUCUACUCUGCAUGGGAUUGUUUCACUUUAUGCUGCUAAGAAUAACACUCCCAGAGUCCAGAAAAGUGACCAAAGAAGUUACUGGCAGUUUUUAUCUCGUGUGCUUCUGUCUCCUCCAUUUAUACCUUCCUAGUGAGGAAACUUAGAUGAUCACACCACACCAACAGUAACCCAGCAAAGACUGGCAGGCAUAUCCCAACACUGCCAAGACAUGGCGGGUUUAGCUUGCUUUGUUGUUUGAGGAUGAUACAAUGGCUUCCUGGUUUUAUGUAGUUUAGGCUCUGACUUGUUCAGUUCUCUAGAAUCCUCAAAAUAGACCACAGAUUCCUGGUACACAUCUCCCUCUCCCCUCCCUCUCCCCUCCCCCUCCCCUACCCCUCCCUCUCUUUCUGUCUCUUUCUGUCUCUCUCUCUCUCUCUCUCUCUCUCUCUCUCUCUCUCUUUCUAUCUCCCUUUCCCUCUCCCUCUCCCCUCCCUCUCCCCUACCCCUCCCUCUCUUUCUGUCUCUUUCUGUCUCUUUCUGUCUCUGUCUCUGUCUCUCUCUCUCUCUCUCUCUCUCUCUCUCUCUCUCUCUUUCUAUCUCCCUCUCCCUCUCUCUCUCCUCUCUGGCUUUAGCUUUCUUUUCAUCUUUGUCUAUGUCUGUCUCUGUCUCUUGGAUUAUCAUAUGAAGUCUGUAAAUGCACUAUCCUGGGAUCUUUUUUUUUUUUUUUAAUUUACAUCCAAAUUAGCUCUUUCAGGAACUUGUGUAGACAUGAAAUUGUAUGCCCAUGUCUUUCCUCUCACAAGAACAUAGUAUCUAUUUCUACUAAGCAUGCUCUAUCCCAUGCUUAGUAGACCUUUGCUUUCUAAUUACACAAAGUCCAGACAUGAGCCUAGGCACUGGCUGGAAACACAGCAUAGAAACUUCUGGGAGAGAAAUGAUAAAUUACCACAUCAAUUUCACAUUGUUCUAUGCCUGAUGUAGAAUUAUUGGGUUUUAUGGUUUAAAAUUCUGAGUUAUUUUAUCUUGAGCUUCAAAAUUUGGCUCAUCCUUUCUAUCACUCACAGAGGUAGUCGAUAAGGCUUGGCAGGUGUCCCAGUUUUAUCUUACUGGGUUUGGAAAGGAACUACAGAACAUUAUGUGAGGACCAGUGAGGAGGGCAUCAAGACCUCAUCAGGAAAGUCUCAAGCACAACAGAAACAUAGGGAUAGAACAAUCCCUCUUUUUUUAUUCAGUUUUUACAGUGAAGCGUAUCACCCCUACCCCCACUUCAGCUGACAUAACCAGAGACAUAAAGGAGAUGGGGCCCAGAGUUUGCAAUAUAUUUUGAUAACAGUGAGCUGUUUUAAUUUUGUUUAAAAUAUGAAAAAGUAGAUAUAAUAAAUAUUAACAUUACACAUUUCAUACACAUACAGAUGCACACAUGAUCUUAAUGACUUCCUCUCGGAUUUAUUUUAUUUCUUCCCCUUAUGGUAGGAGGAUCAAAGAAAGCAAGCAUUCCCAGAGCUCAAGAAAGCCAUCAUAGUAACACUGAGCUCAACUGAUUUACAAUGUAAGCUCCUGGAAAGCUCCAAAAUAUUUCUGUGAUUGUGACAGAAAGGGUCCUGGCCCUGUAAACUCAUCUCAGAUCUUCAAGGUGAAGUUGUCAAUUGGACCAUGACUUACCCUCGAUCUACAAUAAAGUAAUAAGGGGAAUUUAUGAUUUGUCUGGCCCUCUCCAUGAUACAUUAUAAAUAUCACAUCAAUUGGUUCCUUAAUAACUUGGAAAGGAGCUGAAUCAAAUUAGUCAGGUGUUUUAAUCACCAUUACACACCUGCUUAAACCAAGGAUCUGAUUCUGCUAAUUAGUGUGCCAGAAUCAAAAAUCAGAAUCCAAUCUUAUUGGAACACCUGCUCUCCUACCAGUUCUCAUGGUGUAGAUCAAUACACACACACGAAGUGCUUUAUAAACAUUGAAAUAUUUAAAUAAAAUACACGGAGUUUUGUUCCAAGCACUGCAUUUUGUCUUUACUAACAAAAGUGUUCUAUGAUCCAAAUACUAGAGCUGUAUUCAAGUAGAACCAAUUGUCAAACAACUAUCAAGUUUCCUUUAAUACAUAUGCACACACAAACACACAAUUCAGCCUCAAAUCUGCAUCUAUUUUUAUUCAGAUACAUUUAUGUAUUUUGAAGAAAUGUUAGUAAAUUACUUCAAUUUAAAUUAAGUUUCAAAUUCUUUAAAAGGGUUUGUAUUCCUUAAUUUUGUCUCUCUCUCUUUUUUGUCUUUUUCUUUCUUUCUUUCUUUCUUUUUUUUUUUCCGGUGCUGGGGACCGAACCCAGGGCCUUGCGCUUGCUAGGCAAGUGCUCUACCGCUGAGCUAAAUCCCCAACCCCUUAAUUUUGUCUCUUGUACUAGGAAUAAAACCCUGUUCUGAAGCAUGUGAGGCAAGCACUUUGCCACUCACUGCAUUAUAUCCCGGCUCAGCUGGAUUCCUAUAAAACCAAAUAAUGGGGAAGGAUGAAGACUGCACUCAUCUAUGGACACAGGACAAAUGUUUGUAGACCAUUGUCAGGGGUUAUGCUGGUUUAGUAAGUUAGUGGUUGUAGAUUCUUC
This is a long non-coding RNA of Rattus norvegicus (Norway rat), 29513 nucleotides long. RefSeq lists it as uncharacterized. The record is from RefSeq and is a predicted model, not a curated record. NCBI's taxonomy places the organism in Eukaryota, Metazoa, Chordata, Mammalia, Rodentia, Muridae.